RNAcentral lists this ribosomal RNA (458 nucleotides) under uncultured archaeon. RNAcentral's name for it is "bacterial SSU rRNA". It matches the Rfam family "Archaeal small subunit ribosomal RNA", at positions 532 to 989 of the family's 1478-position model. The record is from RNAcentral.
GUUAAGUCUCUGGGGAAAUCUGCCGGCUUAACCGGCAGGCGUUUCAGGGAUACUGGCAGACUAGGGACCGGGAGAGGUGAGAGGUACUCCAGGGGUAGGAGUGAAAUCCUGUAAUCCUUGGGGGACCACCUGUGGCGAAGGCGUCUCACCAGAACGGCUCCGACAGUGAGGGACGAAAGCUGGGGGAGCAAACCGGAUUAGAUACCCGGGUAGUCCCAGCUGUAAACGAUGCGCGUUAGGUGUAUCGGUGACCACGAGUCACCGAGGUGCCGAAGAGAAAUCGUGAAACGUGCCGCCUGGGAAGUACGGUCGCAAGGCUGAAACUUAAAGGAAUUGGCGGGGGAGCACCACAACAGGUGGAGCCUGCGGUUUAAUCGGACUCAACGCCGGAAAUCUCACCGGAUAAGACAGCUGGAUGAUAGUCGGGCUGAAGACUCUACUUGACUAGCUGAGAGGUG